AUAGAUGUUGCUUGAGCUCAUCAUGUUGUAUUAUAGUUUUUUUUUUUUCUAUUGUCUUGUGUAGAACACCCCCGUAAAUUGAUUCUGUUGAAAGCGUGACAAUGAUCGAAAAGUCACGAGUUUGAAAUUGUGCGAAAUUUGACAGAAUGACUUGUUUAAAUGAGAUUGUCAAGACUAGUCGCUUUGUCACUAUUCUCAUAUUAUUUUGGAUACAAUCAUUUCUGUAUGUGUUGGAUACUAUCAAAGGUUCUUUUCAGAUGAUAUCUUGGGCUCAUCCAAGAUCCAAUAAGAGUUUAACACCUCAAAGCCCAUUAGGAUGCCUAUUUAUAAGUGGGCCACUACAGCGUCGGGCUUUACUUGUAUUUUUAUUUUUUAAAUCCCAAUUGGAAGUUUGGGGUCUCGACUCUCGAUCCCGCCUUAGCAAGUUAGCAGUCACACCUCGAAGAUUUUCAUUCUUCAUUGCGCUCCUCUAGGGUUUCUCUGUUUCUUCUUUCCGCUACAAUCUCGACACUCCGAGAUUCACUCACACAUUCUGUGCCAACUAUAUCUCUCGUUAAUACCUAGAAUUUGAACUUGGUAACUGCUUUAAUGGAUCGACUCUUAGUUCGUGGCAUCUCUCGCUGUCACGAGCUCUCUCCCUCCGAUCUUCUCAUCUCAAUCUCCCUCCUCCGAAAACAGGAGUUGUGCUCUAUUCGCGCUGGCAAUGGGAGGCGAUGCACGAAUCCACGAAAGAAUGGCUCGAUGAUUCUCUGGUUCGAGCAGGAUCUCCUAUUCCAUGAUCAUCCGGGCCUUAUCGCCGCCUUCUAACAUCAGGCCGCGGUUCUCUGGUUCGUAUGCUUCCUCUGUUUUGUUUUGUAUUCCUCAUUUUUUAUUCUGUGUUUUGAGGUUUUUUUGGUUUUUCUUUGUAACCAACUGUUCUCUCCCGCUAAAACAUAGAAUUUGAAUUCCGUUACACUCUCUCGUUGUCACGCACUCUCUCUCUUUCCCAAUCUAUCAUAAUAAAAGCAGGAUCCGGAAGAUCGUCGGAGAUCCUGCUUUUUUCAUUCAAUAACAGUAGGAUCUCCGACGAUUAUCCGGAUCUUGUUGCACCUCCGAGAGAAUAAGGCCGUGGUUCCCGGAUCGCGAAUUCUUUCUCGUACUUCUGCUUUGUCUUAUACUCCUCUCGGCGUCUUCCAUCACCUGAUUCUUUCUGGCAGGUUCUGACCAUCCGGGCCCUCUAGCUGCCUCGUGGCCGCCUGGAAGCAGGCCGUGGUUCCUCUCCAUGUCUUCCAUCGCCUCAUUCUUUCUGUUUCUUCUGCCACCACAACACCCCCUUAUUCAAGCCAAUAUAUUACACAUUGGUUACUAUGGAUCUCUGUAAGGUCUCACUUGCGAAGGAGAUUUCUCAUGAGCUCAACUCAGAAUGUUAAACAUCAUUUUGAUUUGGAAAGCUGUUUCCAAGAUCUAAACCUCCCAGAUUGAUCUUGUUUGCAUAGUUUGAUCCAUGUAACUUGAUUGAACCUCGAGGAUUUUGUUCCCUUGUCCUGUAUAUUUGCGAUUAUCUCCUUUUUAUUAUCUUAUAUUUUCAGUCUCUAGGUCCAAAAAUAUUGAAAAAGAAGAGGAUGCAUCUGUUCCAGAACUCGUUAGAGGACAAGGAGGUUCUUCUUGUUUGAGCACUGAAUGAAAUGGAGGUAAUUAAUUCUAAAAAUGGUUGCUGAUAUUUUUUGCAUGUAGUUUGUCAUCUGUGUACCAUCUAUUUAGUACUAAGAAAAAUGUUUUUUUGCCCUUUCAUGUUGGGUUAUGCAUAAAUGCUGUUUUAUAUCAUAAUUAUAGCCAUUGCCAUUUUGCAUGCUUGUUUUUUGUACACCUGUGCUCAUUAGUCUUGGAAAUAAAAUACCAUAAUGAUUAUUCCCGCGCCCUAAGGGCACUGGAUUAUGCACAAGAAGUAUUUGGUGAUCUGGAAGUAAGCUCUCACUUCUUAAUUUUAUCCUUUUAAGAAAUUAGGAAUUCAAGGACAAUUGGAUUUUUUCACUGUUUCUUGUUGGUGACUGAUUGUUUAUAUAUAUUUUGCCUGAACGAGUUCUGGUUGGUUUGUUAAUCGCUGGUAGGGUAUGAAACUCUUGGCCUUUUUUUUCAUUGUUUCUUGUUGGUGAGUGACUGUUCAUAUAUAUUGCUUGAAUGACUUAUGGUUUGAUGGUUUAAUUACUGGUAGGGUGUGAAAGUGGACUUUUUUUUCCUUGUUUCUUCUUGUUGAGUGACUGUUCAUAUAUAUAUAUUGCCUGAAUGAAUUAUGGUUUGGUGGUUUAAUUACUGGUAGGACUUUUUUUUUCCAUUGUUUCUUGUUGGUGAGUGACUGUUCGCAUAUAUUGCCUGAAUAAGUUCUGGUUCGUUGGUUUAAUUACUGGUUGAGCCUGAAAGAUCCAAUCUCAGCCUCUCUUGUCCAAACUUGGUUUGAUUAAAGAGGAACGUAUAUUAGUCUGGGCAUUAGAUGCUGGAAAUGAAUUUCUGCUAUUUAUGUUUUUUUUUUUUUUGUUUCUUAAUAUUUGCGAUAUUUAGGAUAAACUUCCUUCAAAGAGUGGUAUUUUCUUCUUCUUUUGGGUGAGUUUUGAACUUUUAGUCUUGGUACAAAAAAACUGGCCAUCCUUGCUCUCAACUCAUUUGGUCUUUUUUUUUUAAAAGAAAAUUACAUUUGAGUUGAAAUUAGGUACAACAGCUUUAGAUCCAGCCCUAAUUUUAAGCCCGGAUAUAUUUUUUAGAAUGCUUUAAACUUGUUUUGGAAGUACAGCCCAUUAAUUAAAAUUAGUCUUAAAACAUUUGAGAAGUGAAAAAAAAAGAAGCCUUAAUGAUGUUCAACUAGUGAUUCACGCCGGCCCAAACUAAAUAAAGGUGCGUUAUUUGGGCUUUCUACAAAUUUAUUUAGGGCUCUGUCUAAAUGGGCCCAAAAGAAUAAGACGGCCAAAAGAAGAUGGCGGUCCUCACUAGACAAGGCCCAAUAUUGCCGGCUCAAAUGAAUAAGGCCCGAUAAAUAAAGUUGGCUAAACAAGAAUGUGGCCUUUAUAAAUUGGGCCCAAUAAGACAGGCCCAAGUGAACUUAGCCCAAUAAAACAUAACCAAAUGAAGUGGGCCCAACUAGACCGGCCCAAACGUACUAGGCCCAAUAUGACCGGCCCAAAUGAAGUGGCCCAAUACGACCGGCCCAGAUGAACUGGGCCCAACACUAGCUGCCCAAAUGAAGUGGGCCCAAUAUUUUCGGCCCAACUGAGUUGGGUCCAGUAAAAUAAGACCGGCACAAAUGAACUGGGCCCAAUAAAUAAACAAGGCCCAAUUAAGACCGGCCCUAAUGAUGCAACAUCGUAGGACCACUCAAUUAUUGUUAAAGCUGCCCAAUAAGACCGGCCCAAAUGAUCGAACAUCGAAGGACCAAUCAAUUUUUGUUGACGUUCACGUAGUCUGAUCACUGAUGUUACAUAAUCGUGGCCCAAGUAUUAACCCAAUUAAUAGGCCUUUCCACUUAAUUAGGAGUUAUGACAUUAAUUAAGCUGGGCUUAAAGCCCUUCUACUUGGGCUCUAGGUUCCUUUAGCCAAUCCAAUUAGUCUACGUUCAUCAAGCCGAACAAAUCUAAUUGGGCUCUAUGUUUCUUGAGCCCAAUUUAGUCGGGCACCAAUCACCAUGCUUUCGCUCCAAGACAGUAGCUCAAGUCACUUUUAGAUCAUACGGCCAGACCCUAUUUUGGAAGCUAAAGCCCUAGUCAGUGGGGCCCAACAUUCAAUCUACAGUAAUAAAAUGCCAACCAACAAAAAAAUCCAAACAGAAAACUGGUAUGCAGACGCCAUCCAAAAUAACCCCAAGGACGAAAGAAAAGAACUCUCAAAUUGAAAGGAAGAAAGUCAUGGGGAAGUGGACCAAACAAUCCACCCGAAAAACAAAUGGCCAGAAAUAAUGGUUUGCGAAAAUCCAUGAAACCCCUAAUGUUAUGCCAGUAAGAAACACGUCUCAUGCUAC
This is a long non-coding RNA of Tripterygium wilfordii, 3982 nucleotides long. RefSeq lists it as uncharacterized. The transcript has 4 exons. Lineage: Eukaryota; Viridiplantae; Streptophyta; Magnoliopsida; Celastrales; Celastraceae. The record is from RefSeq and is a predicted model, not a curated record.